RNAcentral lists this ribosomal RNA (395 nucleotides) under uncultured bacterium. RNAcentral's name for it is "bacterial SSU rRNA". It matches the Rfam family "Bacterial small subunit ribosomal RNA", at positions 30 to 423 of the family's 1533-position model. The record is from RNAcentral.
AUUGAACGCUGGCGGAAUGCUUUACACAUGCAAGUCGAACGGCAGCACGGACUUCGGUCUGGUGGCGAGUGGCGAACGGGUGAGUAACAUAUCGGAACGUAUCCAAUAAUGGGGGGAUAACUAAUCGAAAGGUUGGCUAAUACCGCAUACGCCCUGAGGGGGAAAGCUAGGGAUCGUCAAGACCUGGCGUUAAUGGAGCGGCCGAUAUCUGAUUAGCUAGUUGGUGGGGUAAAGCCCACCAAGGCGACGAUCAGUAGCUGGUCUGAGAGGACGACCAGCCACACUGGAACUGAGACACGGUCCAGACUCCUACGGGAGGCAGCAGUGGGGAAUUUGGACAAUGGGCGCAAGCCUGAUCCAGCCAUUCCGCGUGAGUGAAGAAGGCCUGGUUCGGU